Molecule: long non-coding RNA, 703 nt
Filed under: Nicotiana benthamiana
Lineage: Eukaryota; Viridiplantae; Streptophyta; Magnoliopsida; Solanales; Solanaceae
Description: long non-coding RNA (NBEN_LNC029037)
Source: RNAcentral
AUGAACUACUAAACUCAGUGGAGGGAAUAUCGAAUCCAAUGUCCCAGUGUCCUGUCGUUACAACUUUAAAAUGUUAUAGGCAUUUACAUUCCUAAAACUUCUAUGAUACACCCAACAAUCAGAUUAACAUGUCAAAACAUAUGAUGUAAAACUCCUUUAUUCAACCAGUUAAUACACUUUGUUAAUCUCAACCUUCCACAUAUCAAUGAGCAUUGGAAAAAAUACCUGGAAUUUGCAAAUAAGAAAGAAGGAGGAGAAUCAGCAGCACUAAUACAACAGAUUCAAUAGCAGCAAAUCAGGAAUCCCAGCAGUAAAACACCAGUGAACAUACCCAAAUUUGACUGAAUAAACCAGUUCCAACUUGAAUUCGACCAAAAGGCUCAAAUAUACCCAAACUGACUCAAAUUAGAAUCGAAUAAACCCAGAAACUACCAUAAGUGACCAGUAAACCUUAGGAACAAAACUCAGCAGCCAUAAACACCUAGAAUAACUUGGAGGAAAUUAGAAAUGGCCCUAACCUCAAAUACAGAAGCCUAGAGAUUCAGAUUUCUCUGAAAUCUCAAUGAAACAGUAACUAUUGUUGGUGUUUUCUGUUGUUUUCUACCCUUUUUCGGUUUUUGAAUGCUUGCAAUUUGAAUUUCAAAAUUCAGAUUAAAAACUUGAGGGAAAUUUCAGAUCUGUGAUGUUUUGGGGGAAUUUUCAG